GGGGGUGUAGCUCAGCUGGGAGAGCACCUGCCUUGCACGCAGGGGGUCAGCGGUUCGAUCCCGCUCAUCUCCACCA
Molecule: transfer RNA, 76 nt
Filed under: Alkalicella caledoniensis
Lineage: Bacteria; Bacillati; Bacillota; Clostridia; Eubacteriales; Proteinivoracaceae
Description: Clostridiales bacterium LB2 tRNA-Ala
Rfam family: tRNA
About the family: Transfer RNA (tRNA) molecules are approximately 80 nucleotides in length. Their secondary structure includes four short double-helical elements and three loops (D, anti-codon, and T loops). Further hydrogen bonds mediate the characteristic L-shaped molecular structure. tRNAs have two regions of fundamental functional importance: the anti-codon, which is responsible for specific mRNA codon recognition, and the 3' end, to which the tRNAs corresponding amino acid is attached (by aminoacyl-tRNA synthetases). tRNAs cope with the degeneracy of the genetic code in two manners: having more than one tRNA (with a specific anti-codon) for a particular amino acid; and 'wobble' base-pairing, i.e. permitting non-standard base-pairing at the 3rd anti-codon position.
Source: RNAcentral